CGGAUGGGGGCCGGCGAUGCGU
This 22-nucleotide non-coding RNA is filed under the name Arabidopsis thaliana (thale cress). The record is from RNAcentral. Lineage: Eukaryota; Viridiplantae; Streptophyta; Magnoliopsida; Brassicales; Brassicaceae.